UUGGAGCCUCACCAUCUUUUUCUAAGCAAAACUGAAUCCAAUUAUCAAGGCCCGAAUCGUAUGCUGAAUAUUCUUGAAUCUUUUGAUUGAAAAAGUUGUAACGUUGAUCGGUAGAACCUAAUUCACCCAAUCCAUCGAACGACAUCAAUGGACUCUUGACAAACGCAUCUAAGGUAGCAAAGUAAUUUAAAUUAGUUUCACUAUUAUCAGCCUUUUUGGAAAUUCCAGAAGAAACAGCAUCCGCUGAAGCACCGGAGUUAAUGCUAGGAGAAGUGGUCGACUGCUGAGUUGAAUUAUUUUCAGCACUUUUAGAAUGAGAAGAUAAACCUGUCGUGCUUGUCUUUAGAGAUAGUGUGUCUCGUUGAUCCUCUUCCUGAACGACUAUUUGCUUGUUGGGUUUUGGAGGUUCUGGCAAGGAUCCACGGCUUAAGGCAGCAACUUCUAACUCAUCUCUAUUUAAUGGUUCAGAGUGAGACUUAUGUGUACUGGAAUUACUGGAUAUUGAAACUGCAUCGUGAGCAGCUACCACUUCGACCUUUGUAGUUGUCGUUUCUUCAAUUGCGGGAGCCUUUGAGUUACUUGACUCAGUGUGAGAAGUAGUCGCUUCAACAAUAGUUGGAAGACUAGUUUUAUAUGGAUAUACGUCUUGUUCUACAGAGGCUAUUGUAUGUUCAUCGUCAGAUGACCCCUUAGUCCAAAAAGGGUCUUCGGUAUUCAACUUGGUAAGAGCUGGAUCGGGCUCCUCCGAAAGAUAACCAUAGAUACUUUCCAAGCUUUCUGAGUUUUUCAAUAGUGCUCCUUCCUCUAGGGAGUUGUUAGAAACCAAAGAAGAGCGUGGAGAUCCAACAACAGAAG
Schizosaccharomyces pombe (fission yeast) is the source of this 855-nucleotide non-coding RNA. The record is from the annotation of a GenBank genome assembly. Lineage: Eukaryota; Fungi; Ascomycota; Schizosaccharomycetes; Schizosaccharomycetales; Schizosaccharomycetaceae.